AGCCAGACUCCUACGGGAGGCAGCAGUGGGGAAUAUUGCACAAUGGGGGAAACCCUGAUGCAGCGACGCCGCGUGAGCGAUGAAGUAUUUCGGUAUGUAAAGCUCUAUCAGCAGGGAAGAAAAUGACGGUACCUGACUAAGAAGCCCCGGCUAACUACGUGCCAGCAGCCGCGGUAAUACGUAGGGGGCAAGCGUUAUCCGGAUUUACUGGGUGUAAAGGGGGCGCAGACGGCGAUGCAAGCCAGGAGUGAAAGCCCGGGGCCCAACCCCGGGACUGCUCUUGGAACUGCGUGGCUAGAGUGCAGGAGGGGCAGGCGGAAUUCCUGGUGUAGCGGUGAAAUGCGUAGAUAUCAGGAGGAACACCGGUGGCGAAGGCGGCUUACUGGACGGCAACUGACGCUGAGGCUCGAAAGCGUGGGGAGCAAACAGGAUUAGAUACCCCAGUA
RNAcentral lists this ribosomal RNA (446 nucleotides) under uncultured bacterium. Its description in RNAcentral is "partial 16S ribosomal RNA". It matches the Rfam family "Bacterial small subunit ribosomal RNA", at positions 329 to 792 of the family's 1533-position model. The record is from RNAcentral.